RNAcentral lists this ribosomal RNA (474 nucleotides) under uncultured bacterium. RNAcentral's name for it is "bacterial SSU rRNA". It matches the Rfam family "Bacterial small subunit ribosomal RNA", at positions 29 to 521 of the family's 1533-position model. The record is from RNAcentral.
AUUGAACGCUGGCGGAAUGCUUUACACAUGCAAGUCGAGCGGCAGCGCGGGGGCAACCCUGGCGGCGAGCGGCGAACGGGUGAGUAAUGUAUCGGAACGUACCCAGUCGUGGGGGAUAACUAUCCGAAAGGAUAGCUAAUACCGCAUACGACCUGAGGGUGAAAGCGGGGGACCGUAAGGCCUCGCGCGAUUGGAGCGGCCGAUAUCGGAUUAGCUAGUUGGUGGGGUAACGGCCUACCAAGGCUUCGAUCCGUAGCUGGUCUGAGAGGACGAUCAGCCACACUGGGACUGAGACACGGCCCAGACUCCUACGGGAGGCAGCAGUGGGGAAUCUUGCGCAAUGGGGGGCAACCCUGACGCAGCCAUGCCGCGUGAACGAUGAAGGCCUUAGGGUUGUAAAGUUCUUUUACCCGUGACGAUGAUGACGGUAACGGGGGAAUAAGCUCCGGCUAACUUCGUGCCAGCAGCCGCGGU